This is a long non-coding RNA of Cavia porcellus (domestic guinea pig), 537 nucleotides long. RefSeq lists it as uncharacterized. The transcript has 3 exons. The record is from RefSeq and is a predicted model, not a curated record. NCBI's taxonomy places the organism in Eukaryota, Metazoa, Chordata, Mammalia, Rodentia, Caviidae.
AAAGGUGCAUCGCAAUAUAUCAAUUUGCCAUCUGCACAGCAGAUGUCUUCCAAGGGAAUGACUUCAACCACAGUGCAGUUGAAUCAACAUAAAAUAAAGAGUGAAUCUUAAUGUUCUUUGAAGCCAACUUCAAGACAACAAGGAACAUGGAAGAAGGGUCUGGAGGAAAGUUGCUUUGUCACGGCAGCCAGGAAGUAGAGAGAGAAGGGAGAAACUGAGAAGGAAGACGCCCUUCAGGGCCACACCCCCGUGACCCACCUCUUCUGACCAAAUCCCAACUCCUGUUAUAAUACCCAGGAUUCAGUCACCUUCACAAAGCCUGCCUAGGAGACUGUGGGGAGUCAUUCAGAUACAAACCAUAACAAGGAAGAGUGACAGUUACUCUCCUCUGACCGAACAACAUGUACCAAAGCUUCUGAAAUAAGAGUAACUGAGAAAGUGUCCAGAGCAUUGUGUGAGAUGAUAUUAUUAAAGAAAUAGAUUUCUUAGGAAGAAAUUUCCCAAAUGGGCUAUGACUAAUAUAUUUCAUAAAUUCAC